Molecule: long non-coding RNA, 1356 nt
Organism: Ictalurus punctatus (channel catfish)
Lineage: Eukaryota; Metazoa; Chordata; Actinopteri; Siluriformes; Ictaluridae
Exons: 3
Source: RefSeq, a predicted model, not a curated record
CAAAGAAUCUAGGCUGUAUACAUUUAAAUACUUUACAUUAAUAAAGAAACACAUUUCGCUCAGCAACAGAGAGCUGUUUAUUGAUCAGCUCUAUGGAUAAACUAGCAAGACUUUCUUUAAUAGACCGGCUAAACACACCUCUACAUUUCUACUGUUACUGUAGAGAAUGCUCAUUGUUGCAGUCCAUCCAUCUCUUUCUUUUUGUCCUGUAACUUAGAAUACAGGAAGUAAGCAGUUAUAAAAAUAACUUUGGAACUUCCACUAUUUCUCGGUAAAGCAUUAUUAGUGCUUGCUAUUGUGAUUUCUCAUCAAUUGUGACCAAGAUCUUAAGCAAGUACAGAGAGAACUCUUUCUUUCUUUCUUUCUUUCUUUCUUUCUUUCUUUCUUUCUUUCUUUCUUUCUUUCUUUCUUUCUUUCUUUCUUUCUUUCUUUCUUUCUUUCUUUCUUUCUUUCUUUCUAGUAACUUAGAAUACAGGUAACCAGUUAUAUAAGUAACUUUGAAACUUCCUCUACUUCUCAGUAAAGCAUUAUUAGUACUGUAAAAGGAGAUUCAUCUUGCUCAUCUUGAGAUCACACACGACCAAGAUCUCUAACAAGUACAGAGAGAACUGUUCUCUGGACAAAAUGAGAAUUACAGGUCAUCUUUGAAAUCCUGCUGAUUUUCACAAAAGCUGCCAUGGGUUUCAUGGUGGUGUUUUUGUCUGUGUGGAUCUUUCAAGUCAUCAUCCUGCUGUCUCUGUUAGUGGGAGCAUACAUCUACCCCAGAAUCUACAGGAAACAGAGGACACCUGAGAUUCAGGAAGCUCUGUAAACCUGGAUUAGGAACAGAAGAAGCAGAUCUCCUCUAUACAAGCAACCAUCAAUCUGUGUCUCAUUCAGACUGAAACAUGAGAAAAUAUAACCAUCAAUAACAGAUGGCUAACAGACAACAUAAAUGUAAUUCCUCAAUCCACACCUGGACUUUGCUUUUUCUUUUUCUUUUUCUUUUUUUUUUUAAACAAAAACAACAAAAAAAAACUAAGUCAGUCUCAUGAUUCCUGCAGAUUCAUUGAGGAACCAAGUGCUAUUUUUUAGAGUUGCUUCUGUUAUGCUUUAUUUCUAAUAUUCUCAAAAUAAUGUAAUACUUUGAUGCAGUUGUUACAAACAUGCCAACAAUGCUUUUGUGGAAAUGAUUUUAAUAGAGUUUUUGAAAUGUAAAUUCAAUUUCUGUAACUGAACUAAAUGAUUUUUAUCACUAUAAAAAGUCAAAACGAUAGUGGGCGUGGUGCACCGGUGGGCAAGUGAUGUAAUCGGUGUGCGGCCAAACACCGGUAACACAGCAAGCCUAAUAUGGAUGCUCCCAGUACCUUAUUUUUU